RNAcentral lists this long non-coding RNA (237 nucleotides) under Nicotiana benthamiana. RNAcentral's name for it is "long non-coding RNA (NBEN_LNC040639)". The record is from RNAcentral. Lineage: Eukaryota; Viridiplantae; Streptophyta; Magnoliopsida; Solanales; Solanaceae.
AAACGUUGUGUUUCAUAAGAUGAACCUGGUCCUUCACUGAGUUCAUUUCUCAUUCUUCAAAACUUCAACUGAACUUGGACCAACAAAUUUCCCCUUUUUGAUGAUGACAAACUCUGUGCUUUUACUGAUCAGAGAACCUGUGGAACUCAGCUAAUUAUCAACACACUUUUACUUAAGAAUUUUAACUCAUCAUUAAGGACCAGAUUUAAUCAGGUUAUAAAUAUUACUUUUUUCAGA